ACGGUUAUAAAUCAACAUAUUGAUUUAUAAGCAUGGAAAUCCCCUGAGUGAAACAACGAAUUGCUGUGUGUAGUCUUUGCCCAUCUCCCACGAUGGGCUUUUUUUUAU
This 108-nucleotide non-coding RNA is filed under the name Escherichia coli. Its description in RNAcentral is "antisense sRNA RprA". It matches the Rfam family "RprA RNA". Rfam says of the family: Translational regulation of the stationary phase sigma factor RpoS is mediated by the formation of a double-stranded RNA stem-loop structure in the upstream region of the rpoS messenger RNA, occluding the translation initiation site. Clones carrying rprA (RpoS regulator RNA A) increased the translation of RpoS. The rprA gene encodes a 106 nucleotide regulatory RNA. RNAcentral also lists the same sequence under 5 other names. The record is from RNAcentral. Lineage: Bacteria; Pseudomonadati; Pseudomonadota; Gammaproteobacteria; Enterobacterales; Enterobacteriaceae.